Oreochromis aureus is the source of this 58-nucleotide microRNA precursor. Lineage: Eukaryota; Metazoa; Chordata; Actinopteri; Cichliformes; Cichlidae. The record is from Ensembl.
AGUGGGUUUGGUUCACUUUGAUGUGCUGUUUGCAACAAAGUGUUAUCCCCAUCCACUU